CUCAUAGCGUAUAUUUAAGUUGUUGCAGUUAAAAAGCUCGUAGUCGGAUUUUGGCUGAGAACGGUCGGUCCGCCGUUAGGUGUGCACUGACAGGUCUCAGCUUCCUGGUGAGGAGGUGUGCUUCAUCGCCACUUAGUCACCGUGGUUACUUUGAAAAAAUUAGAGUGUUCAAAGCGGGCUUACGCUUGAAUAUAUUAGCAUGGAAUAACACCAUAGGACUCCUGUCCUAUUUCGUUGGUCUCGGGACGGGAGUAAUGAUUAAGAGGAACAGUUGGGGGCAUUCGUAUUUCAUUGUCAGAGGUGAAAUUCUUGGAUUUAUGAAAGACGAACUUCUGCGAAAGCAUUUGCCAAGGAUGUUUUCAUUGAUCAAGAACGAAAGUUGGGGGCUCGAAGAUGAUUAGAUACCAUCCUAGUCUCAACCAUAAACGAUGCCGACUAGGGAUUGGCGGAUGUUAAUUGAUGACUUCGCCAGCACCUUAUGGGAAAUCAAAGUUUUUGGGUUCCGGGGGGAGUAUGGUCGCAAGGCUGAAACUUAAAGGAAUUGACGGAAGGGCACCACCAGGCGUGGAGCCUGCGGCUUAAUUUGACUCAACACGGGGAAACUUACCAGGUCCAGACAUAGUAAGGAUUGACAGAUUGAGAGCUCUUUCUUGAUUCUAUGGGUGGUGGUGCAUGGCCGU
RNAcentral lists this ribosomal RNA (680 nucleotides) under uncultured eukaryote. RNAcentral's name for it is "SSU rRNA". It matches the Rfam family "Eukaryotic small subunit ribosomal RNA", at positions 591 to 1291 of the family's 1831-position model. The record is from RNAcentral.